UAAAGCAAAGAAGAGCGCAGAGUGAAUGCCUUGGCAUUGAGAGCCGAAGAAGGACGUGGUUAACUGCGAUAAGCAGCGGGGAGUUGUAAGCAAGCAUUGAUCCGCUGAUUUCCGAAUGGAGCAAUCCGCAUGAAGUAGUUCAUGCAUCCAUAUGUGAAUCAAUAGCAUAUGGAGGGGAACCGCCUGAACUGAAACAUCUAAGUAGGGCGAGGAAGAGAAAUCAACCGAGAUUCCGCUAGUAGUGGCGAGCGAACGCGGAAGAGGCCAAACCAAGAGUAGUAAUACUUUUGGGGUUCGGACUGAGUACGGUAUUGACAAAGGUUAGUGGAAUGAAAUGGGAAGUUCAACCAUAGAGCGUGAGAGUCGCGUAUACGAAAACUUGAGUCAGCCAUCAGUAUCCAGAGUACCGCCGGACACGUGAAACCCGGUGGGAAUACGGGGGGACCACCCUCCAAGCCUAAAUACUCACCAAUGACCGAUAGUGUAUAGUACUGUGAAGGAAAGGUGAAAAGAACCCCUGGCGGGGAGUGAAAAAGAACCUGAAACCUUGUGCCUACAAGCACAUAGAGCACAUCAACGUGUGAUAUGGUACCUUUUGUAGAAUGGUCCGGCGAGUGAAUGUCACUAGCGAGGUUAAGGACUUAAGGUCUGCAGCCGAAGCGAAAGCGAGUCUUAAUAGGGCGACAAUAGUUAGUGGUAUUCGACCCGAAACCGAGUGACCUAGCCAUGAGCAGGCUGAAGUGGAGGUAAAACUCCAUGGAGGGCCGAACCCACUCCCGUUGAAAUGGUAGGGGAUGACUUGUGGCUAGCGGAGAAAUUCCAAUCGAACUCGGAGAUAGCUGGUUCUCUCCGAAAUAGCUUUAGGGCUAGCCUCAAAUAACAUUACCGCAGGUAAAGCACUGAAUGGGCUAGGGGGCGAAAGCUUACUGAACCCUAUCAAACUAAGAAUGGCGGAUAAUGAAUAUUUGGGAGUCACACUACGUGAGAUAAGUUUCGUGGUGGAAAGGGAAACAGCCCAGACCCACAGCUAAGGUCCCAAAGUACAGUUAAGUGGAAAAGGAUGUGAAGUUGCGCAGACAACCAGGAUGUUGGCUCAGAAGCAGCCACUCAUUCAAAGAGUGCGUAAUAGCUCACUGGUCGAGUGAUUUUGCGCCGAAAAUUUAACGGGGCUAAACUGUACACCGAAGCUUGGGAAUAUACCUCUGGUAUGUUGGUAGGAGAGCGUCGUAUGCGGGGUGAAGUCGUAGCGAAAGCGGCGGUGGACUGCAUAGGAGUGAGAAUGCCGGAAUGAGUAGCGAGAAUUAUGUGAGAAUCAUAAUGGCCGAAAGUCUAAGGUUUCCUGAGGAAGGUUCGUCCUCUCAGGGUUAGCCGGGAGCUAAGGUGAGGCGGAAACGCGUAGCCGAUGCACAUACGGUAGAAAUUCCGUAGCCUCCGAAGAUUUAAGCACAGGGACACUUUUGAAGGGCUGAGCCGGGCGUUGGUUGCCCCGGUCGAAAGGGACACGAUUGAGUGGAAGUCAGUUUGGAAAGAGGCGAGAAAAGCUGUGUGUAUAUGGAAGGAGCCCGUACCGCAAACCGACACAGGUAGACAGGAAGAAGAUUCUAAGGCCAGCGGGAGAAGGGUUGUUAAGGAACUCGGCAAGUUGACCCCGUAACUUCGGGAGAAGGGGUGCUUACGAAGGUAAGCCGCAGAGAAUAGGCCCAAGCGACUGUUUAGCAAAAACACAGCUCUAUGCUAAAUCGAAAGAUGACGUAUAUGGGGUGACACCUGCCCGGUGCUGGAAGGUUAAGAGGAGAUGUGAGAGCAUUGAAUUGAAGCCCCAGUAAACGGCGGCCGUAACUAUAACGGUCCUAAGGUAGCGAAAUUCCUUGUCAGGUAAGUUCUGACCCGCACGAAUGG
Molecule: ribosomal RNA, 1899 nt
Filed under: human gut metagenome
Description: bacterial LSU rRNA
Rfam family: Bacterial large subunit ribosomal RNA
Source: RNAcentral